This 63-nucleotide non-coding RNA is filed under the name Serratia odorifera. RNAcentral describes it as "Fluoride sequence". It matches the Rfam family "Fluoride riboswitch aptamer (crcB RNA motif)". Lineage: Bacteria; Pseudomonadati; Pseudomonadota; Gammaproteobacteria; Enterobacterales; Yersiniaceae. RNAcentral also lists the same sequence under 1 other name. The record is from RNAcentral.
UCUUCCCUUGGAGAUGGCAUUCCUCCAUAACCGCCCUUACCGGCUGAUGAUGCCUACGUUACC